CCCUAGAAAUAAAGAAAAGAAAGGAAAGAAAGAAAGGGAAGAACGGAGAGGGUGAGAAAAGGGGAAGAGGGAAACAGAUCCGCAGAGGAGGAGAAACGGGGAAGAGAGAGAUCUGAAGGGAGAGGAAGAUCGUGACUGGCGCCGCCGCCGCCUCGCCCAACUGCCAUGCUUCUCGUUGUCGCCGCCGAAGGGAAGAGGGAGAGAGAGCGCCGUCGAACAGAACGCGAGAAGGGAGAGGAGUUGUGUUCUGUUGUUGACGUCGCACCACCGCCACGCCGCCGUGCUGUGUGAAGUCACCGCAGUCGCCUCGAUCCUCGCCGUCGUCGUUCUCGGCCCGAGCCCUUGCCGUCGUCGAUGGGGUCGAAUCCGCCGCCAGUUUGAGCUAAGGGAGAGGAAACGCGUAUAGGUGAUAGAACAGGGGGCUUCGUGGGAGCUCCGCCACUGCCCAACCACCGUCGCAGGAGGAACGUCCUGCCACCACUGUGCUCCGUCGCUGUCGAAAUCAGAACAUCCACCGAUUAAUGCUACCGCCGCCACUGGCUUGCCAUUUCUGCUCGGUUGUGCCCUUAUUUGCCGUUCUGAUUGUUGAAAGGAAAUGUUGUCGAAGCUAUAGCUUCUCCAUUCCCCAUUCUCUUGUUUCUUUUCUGAGGGUGCUUGGAAUACAAAUCAUGAUGUAGCUACUGCAGAAUAAGGUGAAAAGAGGGUUUAUCGCGUUAAAAUCGGUGCGGGUUUGAUUCUUUGAGGUAUGGGUUUUUCUUAAAAUCUAUUUUAUAUUACAGAGUUGUGAUAAAUAGAUAUUGAUGCAAAAAGAUAUACUUCUGUGAUUAUAUUUAUCUUGUGGAUGUGAUGGUUGGUUGGACUAGAUUAUUGGGUGCUUGAUUGCGUGAGUGAUGUAUGGUUGUUGAUAAAAAUCGGUUUGAAAUGUUAUUUACUUGAUUAUUAUGAAAGGUGGAUUUUCUUGGUUUUGGAGUUUACUUGGUAAUAUAAAUGAAUCGAUUUUAGAAAUAAUUUGAGAUAUGAAAAUAAAUUGAUUCUGGGAGCGGUUUGAU
This is a non-coding RNA of Arachis ipaensis, 1049 nucleotides long. Lineage: Eukaryota; Viridiplantae; Streptophyta; Magnoliopsida; Fabales; Fabaceae. The record is from RefSeq and is a predicted model, not a curated record.